AAUAUAUAUAUUAUAUUAUACAUGCGUAAGUAAUAAUUAUGUUUUUAUAUUAUAUUAUUAUUAAUAUAUUAUAUUAUAUUAUAUUAUAUUAUAUUAUAUUAUUAUUAUAUAUAUAUGACAAAGAAAGAAAGAAAAGAAACAGAGAGCAAAACAAAACAGAGAAGGGAGAAAGAAAGAAACAGAGAGCAAAACGAAACAAAGAAGGAAGGAAGGAAAGAAAGAAAGAAAAGAAAAGAAAAAGGAAAAUUUGGGGUUUUAAGGUUCAAAGUAAUUUGGUAAGUCAAUUUAAUCCCAUUUUCUCUUAAUUUUGAUAUUUUUUUGAAAUCCUAGAACAAAAUACUACUUGAUUAAGUUGAAAUUUUGGAAGUUAGUAGAUUAUUAAGCAUGGUUCAUGUUGAAUAAAUUGUUAAAUUAGGGAUGUAUUUGAUAGAAAUUUUGAUUGGAAUUGAAUAAAGGAUUGAAUUGUAAACUAAACUAUAAGUUUUGAAUUUUAGGGAUUAAUUUGAAAUAAAUUCGGAAUUAUGAAAACAUGAUAAAAAUUAAAUAGUUAAAUAUGAGUUUAGCAAGAAAUUGGGUAGAAUAAGGGUAUGAAUUGAGAAAGAAAAAUAUAUAGGUUUAGUUAGGGGUUAAAUUGAUUUAAUUUCAAGUUAGAAGUUAGUAAAGAACGUAAUUGUAAAAUAAAAUAUAAGUUUUGAAUCGAUAGGGAUUAAAUUGAAAGAAUCCCGAAAUUAGGGAUUUAUGGUGAAAUUGAGGAAUUAAAUUGACUUUAUAAUAAGAAUUAAGAGAGAAUAUAGAGUUAGAUUGGGAAAAAUAAAAUUAGUAUUGAUAAGGGAUUAAAUUAGAAUUUGAUGUUGCCAUAGAAGGGAAAAAUGUUCAGAAUGUUAUAAAACAUAAGAAUAAGAGAUGAAGUUUAAUUUCCGAGCCUUGGGGAAAAAUGUAAUUAUGUAAAAGUUUAGGGGUAAAAUUGUAAUUUUGAAAAAGUUAGAGUCGAGGGCUGUUUUGAUGAAUGUGAUUAUUAAAUAAGUUAAAUUUACUAUUUUAGAUCAAGAAGUACGAAACUCGAGGUUAGACAAAGAGAAGAAUAAAGUUGAAGACUAAGUUGGUGAAUUUGGCUAUAAUUGGUACCGAGGUAAGUUUACGGUAAAUAAAUGCAAUAUUUCAAUAUUUAUUAUUAAUGCUGUUAAUUUCCAGCAAUUAUGAAUUUAUUUUAUGAAUUUAUUUGAUGAUGAUCCAAGCAUGAAAUGAUAGAGAAUUAAAAUUUAAAAGUCCCGUUGAUACAUAAGGAUGGUACUGGAUACGAAUGUCAUGACAUUUGGGUAAAGAGAUCCCAUGUAAGACCAUGUCUGGGACAUGGCAUUGGCAUCCUUAAGAUCAUGAGAGGUCCCCUUAAGACCAUGUCUGGGACAUGGCAUGGGCACCGAGACGAGAGGUCCCAUGUAAGACCAUGUCUGGGACAUGGCGUUGGCACCGAGAUGAGAGGUCCCCUAUAAGACCAUGACUGGGACAUGGCAUGGGCACCAUCACGAGAACAUCCCAUGUAAGACCAUGUCUGGGACAUGGCUUUGGCAUGUUAUUAUCAGAAGAGACCCGAGUAUCCUUAUUAUUCCAAUGUAGCUCAACGGGCUUGUAAACGAAUCAUGUUCAUGAAAGUUCAGUUUAAAGCAUAAAUGGCAAGCUCAGGUAAGUUGUAAGACUUAAGAACUUAUUAUACUAUCAAUUGAUGUUCAACGAUGCAGCAAGGAUUGAGUAAGUUAUGCACACAAGUAUUCUAAGUAAACAAGUAAGAGAACUAGUAUGAGAUUAACUAAAGAGUAAACUAGAGAUAUAGACAUUGAGUUUAAUUAUUUAAGUUAAAUAUUGUUAUUUAUUUGCUAGUAAACUUACUAAGCUUUAUGCUUACUUCUUUUAUUUCUCUUUCUCUUAUAGUAUUGCAAAGCUACUUCAAGGAUCCUAAAGAAGUCGGAGAUCGUCCACACUAUCAACUACAACUGCUCGGUAUUUUAUAUCGAAACACGUUUGAGUUAUGGCAUGUAUAGGGAUUUAGUUAUUUUGUAUGUUUGUAAUGAUGAUUUUGCUAAUGAGUAAUGUGUAAGUAUUUGAUGAUGUAUGGUUAUUAAAAUGAUUAAGGAUGAAGGUGUUUGUUGUUAUGAAAGAUUAGGUGAUAAAUUAUGCAUGGAAAUCAUGAAAGGAUAAAAUUUUGCAAAGAAACAGAAUUCAGGCAGCAGAGUGACGUGAAUUUGAAAAAUCACUCAAGAUAGUAUAAAAUGAAUUAGAGGGUGAAUGAUAUAUGGAAUUAAAUAUUGUUGAGUCUAUUUUCAUGGAAAAAUUACGGUGUAGAAAAAGGAAAUUUAUAUUUUAAGAUAUGUGAAUUUUAGUAAGAUAAGGUCAGAACUGUUUUUGAAGUCCCCUGUUCUGAGUUUAGAAAAUAAUUAAAAAUUGUACAAAAAUGGUUAUGAGUUGAAAUUUACAUGCUUAGAUUUCUUAAUGAGUCUAUUUUCUGUAGAAACAAGUAAGAACUUUACAUGAAAAUCCUACAGUGAGAAAACUUAUUUUUAGUGACUAGAAGUCAGGGCAGUCAGGUGGUGAAACAGGGGAGACUUUAACUAAUAAACUGUACUAAUUUGCUAAACCAAAAAUUCUAAAAAUUUUAUGGUGAGUAGAUAUAUGAGUCUAGUUUCAGGGAAAAUUUACGGAAUUAAAUUUCGAGUUCUGUAGCUCAAGUUAUAAUUAAUUUAGUAACUGCUGCGCGAUUGGACAGAUUUGCUGCGAAUAAUGAAAUAAAUUUUCAAACCUAGUUUUUAUGCUCCGAAUUGGUAAGAUAAGCUAAGUAAUGCCUCGUGCUCGACUCCGGAAACGGUCUCGGGUAAGGGGUGUUACAGAUUUUCUGUUAUACGAACUUACUAAGCAUAAUAUGCUUACUCUGUUUUAUUUCCUCCGUUUUAUAGUACUUAGAAGCACAUGAAGGUUGGAACUUGGUAGAAUACAAAUCACACUAUCCCUCAGACAUCCCAGUAUAUAAAGCAAGCUAACUGUUGGUAUAAUGGCAUGUAUAAGCUAAGUAGGCAUAAUGAUGAAAUGUUUUGGUUG
RNAcentral lists this long non-coding RNA (3087 nucleotides) under Gossypium barbadense (sea-island cotton). RNAcentral describes it as "long non-coding RNA (GBAR_LNC002090)". The record is from RNAcentral. Lineage: Eukaryota; Viridiplantae; Streptophyta; Magnoliopsida; Malvales; Malvaceae.